UACGUAGGCGGAAAAUUAAGUCAGUAGUGAAAUCCUGCAGCUUAACUGUAGAACUGUUAUUGAUACUGGUUUUCUUGAAUUUAGUUGAGGUGGGCGGAAUGUGUAAUGUAGCGGUGAAAUGCUUAGAUAUUACACAGAACACCGAUUGCGAAGGCAGCUUACUAAACUAUGAUUGACGCUGAGGUACGAAAGCGUGGGGAGCGAACAGGAUUAGAUACCCUGGUAGUCC
Molecule: ribosomal RNA, 229 nt
Filed under: uncultured bacterium
Lineage: Bacteria
Description: partial 16S ribosomal RNA
Rfam family: Bacterial small subunit ribosomal RNA
Source: RNAcentral